GAGGGAGGGAGCGAUCGAGAGGGAGAGGGGACUGUAUAAGGGAAAGAAAACAGUUUCUCCUGCUCUGCAGCUUCUGUUCAGGAUUGAAGUGGAUCUAGGAAUGAAUGGAUGACUGAAUAUUCAUAUGAAGAGGAAAGCCAUAAAAGACAUUAACACCUUUGAGAACAGAAUGUUAAUGCUUGAUGGGAUGCCGGCAGUCAGAGUCAAAACAGAACUGUUGGAAUCUGAACAAGGUUCUCCAAACGUCCACAACUAUCCAGACAUGGAAGCUGUACCCUUGUUGCUAAAUAAUAUGAAGGCAGAUCCCCCAGAGGAUUCGUUAUCUACGGACCAUUUCCAAACACAAACUGAACCAGUGGACUUGUCAAUAAACAAAGCCAGGUCAUCCCCUACAGCAGCCUCAUCUUCACCGGUUUCCAUGACAGCCUCAGCCUCCUCUCCUUCUUCUACUUCAACUUCUUCUAGUCGGCCAGCUUCCUCCCCUACAGUAAUAACAUCAGUAUCUUCAGCGGCAUCUGUGCCAUCAGUAUUAACUCCAGGCCCUCUUGUGGCCUCUGCAUCUGGUGUUGGAGGCCAGCAGUUUUUGCACAUAAUCCAUCCAGUACCACCCUCAAGCCCCAUGAACUUACAGUCCAACAAAAUGAGUCAUGUGCACCGCAUUCCAGUUGUGGUGCAGUCGGUACCUGUAGUCUACACAGCUGUGAGAUCACCUGGAAAUAUGAACAACACUAUAGUAGUACCGCUGUUGGAGGAUGGGAGAAGCCAUGUUAAAGCACAAAUGGAUCCCCGAGGCAUCUCUCCCAGACAAAUUAAAAGUGACAGUGAUGAUGAUGACCUGCCAAAUGUGACCUUAGAUAGUGUUAAUGAAACUGGAUCCACGGCUCUUUCCAUAGCCAGAGCUGUACAAGAAGAGAGCAUGUGGGGCUGUGCCAGGUCAGCUGUUAACACUUUUCGUUUUUUCAACUCCAGUUCAAUUUCACCAUUCAGUAUUGAGAGCACAAGGCGCCCAAGAAGGUCCGAGUCUCCAGAUUCCAGGAAGCGGCGCAUCCAUAGGUGUGAUUUUGAAGGAUGCAACAAAGUAUACACAAAAAGUUCUCAUCUGAAGGCUCACCGGCGGACACACACAGGAGAGAAACCAUACAAAUGUACCUGGGAAGGGUGCACUUGGAAGUUUGCUCGCUCAGAUGAACUGACAAGGCACUAUCGCAAGCACACAGGAGUGAAGCCAUUCAAGUGUGCAGACUGUGACCGCAGCUUUUCCCGUUCAGAUCACUUGGCACUGCACCGCCGCAGGCACAUGCUGGUGUGAGAAAUGCUACUUGUCAUCAGAGUGUAAGAGCUGGGCCUCUUAACUACGUGCAUUCAGCAGGGCUGAAUCCCCUUCUACAGUGUUAACACAAAAGGACAUUCCAUGAUGUCCAUAACUAAAAAGCAGGAAAAGAAGUGCCACUCUUCUCCUUUCCAUCUGAGGUUAAAGCCCCCCAGCAUGGUAACCUCCUCCACACCCCAAAAAAUGUCAUCAUGUUCACCUGGGAGAGAGCAACUUAAAUGCUACAAAAAUGGGCAUUAUUUUCCAUACUGUGUCCUUUAACAACAUUUAUGACCUGUGCAUUUUCUCAGUUAUUGGACAUUUUGUUCUUGAGAAUAAUUGCUAUUUUGAUGAUCGGAUAACACAAACCAAUGACAAGAACAAGACCUCUAGAUCUUCAAUUUUCCAUCAUCUUCCCUUUUUUUGAGUGCCGUCUAAUCAGUAUAGAAAAAAUACCUGAUCUGUGCUACAAACAAGCUGCAGGAAAGUCAGCAAGAUGAUUUUGCUGGAGAGGUUCCACUAUCUGAAGCAUAGAGCACAUAAGCAGACUUUUGCAAUAAUGAUGGUGGCAUUUUACUAUUUCAUCACAGUUUGUCAUUACACCCUAAAAGACACCAAACAUGUAACCUUUUCUUUUUUUUCAUAUUGGGGGGGGUUUUUUGUUUGUUGAUGUCUGUAAAACAAAAUGGGGUUUCAGCAGCAUUUCAGCUGAAAUACAGUGUGAGAACCUGUGCUCUGCCGUGAAUUUGUUUACAACAGUUUGUAUAGAACGACACCACCUACAAGUUAUUGCCCUGUUUUCAAAGUGCAGUUUUUUGUCACCUAUGCAUUCUCUCCUUCUACAUCCACGUAUUUGAUUACAAGUUAACAGUGAAACAAAUCUUAUAUCCAUUUGCAGCAUGAUUAAUGGUAUGGCCAUCUAUAAAAUGGAAUUGAAUGUACAACUGCUAGUGGGGAAAAGCAGAAAAGAAACAGCUGCAUCUCUAACAGAGAGAAGGUGGAUGCUUCAAAAUGGAGAUGAGCUUGUAACCAUUAAUAUCUUUUUUUGAGAGGUCAGUGAGGUAAACUGUGUCUUCUACAGCAUACAAAAAUGAGGCCAUUCACCAUGUCCAUGCUGUCCCAAUUCACACACACAUCCAUACCUGCAUACAAACACCCACGUGUUCACAUACCUUAUCAUGUAUGUAAUUAGAAAUAUUUAACCAUGAUUUCAAAACCGGAUGAAGAAUUGGACACAUUUAGUACUGUAAAAAGUAAAUACCUUCAUCUUAUUAAGAAACCAGUUUGUAUUCCUCUAUUAUGUCUUUGUGUGUGUUUUGUAACUGAAGAUGUACAUAAAGAAAUUUUAAAACUGCUCUAUUUUCACAGUUUCAUUACAGAGUAACAGUAACUGUGCAAUGUAUGCUUAGCAAGUCAUGCCCAUUGGUACUUUUAAAUAUGUUAAAUCUUAAUCAAUUUCAGUAGCAAUUGAGUUUCUAGUUAUAAAACCUAACUAUAAGGAUACUGCAUCUUUAAAAAUAAUAGAAUGAAGGUAUUUUACUGUACUUGUAACAGUUUAAAUAUUCUGUAAUAUAUAUGAUAGUCAAAAAGUAUUUUCAAACUUAUCGUUUUACACAGGAUGUAAAUAGUUUAAAUGAAGUAUGUUUAAAAAGAAUUGUAGUUUUCAUUGCAAAAAAAAAAGAAAAUUAAAACCUGCUCAGAUAUGCCCUGUAAAACUUAUACACAGUUAAAAUAUAGGAACUAAUUUUUUCCACUUUGUCAGAGCAUGUUCAGUCUGUGCAAAAAUAGAGUGCCAUUGGUCUUGGGUUAUUGCCAGUAGUAUUAGAUUCAAUGAAGUAAUUAAGGGCACAUCUACACAGCAGGGCUGAAGUCGGAAUAAGCUACGCAAGUUGAGCUAUGUCAAUUGCGUAGCUGAAGUCGAAAUAGCUAAACUUGGCUUUUGGUACUGUCUACACAGCAGGAAGUAGAGGGAAGAACUCUCUUCAUUUGACUUCCUUACUCUCAUAAAAUGAGGAUUAUGAUGAGUCAGAGUAAGAAAUUCUCCAGAUCAUCAUUAUUUCAAAAUAAUGGUUUGCUGUGUAGACGCACUCUUUUUUAAUUUCAGAAUAACGUCAGUUAUUCUGAAAUAACGUUGCUGUGUAGAUGUACCCUUUGAGUCCUUGAAAGCUGAAUAAGACAAAACUCAAGAUGCCUUAGUCUGACCAAGGUAAAAAACAAACAAAAAACGAGCAACUGCAUUGGUGCUUUUUCAUUUAGGGUACACUACACUUGCUCCUUAGUUCAAACUAGGGAUGCAAAUGUAGGCAACCGAAAUUGCUAAUGAAGCGGGGAUUUAAAUAU
Non-coding RNA from Pelodiscus sinensis (Chinese soft-shelled turtle), 3649 nucleotides. NCBI's taxonomy places the organism in Eukaryota, Metazoa, Chordata, Testudines, Trionychidae. The record is from RefSeq and is a predicted model, not a curated record.